This 1531-nucleotide ribosomal RNA is filed under the name Anaerobacillus sp. HL2. RNAcentral describes it as "bacterial SSU rRNA". It matches the Rfam family "Bacterial small subunit ribosomal RNA". Lineage: Bacteria; Bacillati; Bacillota; Bacilli; Caryophanales; Bacillaceae. The record is from RNAcentral.
UUUAUGGAGAGUUUGAUCCUGGCUCAGGACGAACGCUGGCGGCGUGCCUAAUACAUGCAAGUCGAGCGGAGAAUGGCUUUGCUUUUCAUUCUUAGCGGCGGACAGGUGAGUAACACGUGGGCAACCUGCCCUAUGGGCUGGGAUAACCUCGGGAAACCGAAGCUAAUACCGGAUAAUCUUAGGAGUCACAUGACUCUUAAGUAAAAGUUGGGUUUACCCUAACACUACAGGAUGGGCCCGCGGCGCAUUUAGCUAGUUGGUAGGGUAAUGGCCUACCAAGGCGACGAUGCGUAGCCGACCUGAGAGGGUGAUCGGCCACACUGGGACUGAGACACGGCCCAGACUCCUACGGAGGCAGCAGUAGGAAUCUUCCUGUGGACGAAAGUCUGACGGAGCAACGCCGCGUGAACGAUGAAGGCCUUCGGGUCGUAGGAUUCUGUUGUUAGGGAAGAACAAGUACCGUUCGAAUAGGUCGGUACCUUGACGGUACCUAACGAAAGCCACAGCUAACUACGUGCCAGCAGCCGCGGUAAUACGUAGGUGGCAAGCGUUGUCCAGGUGUGGGCGUAAAGCGCGCGCAGGCGGUUUCUUAAGUCUGAUGUGAAAGCCCCGGCUCAACCGGGGAGGGUCAUUGGAAACUGGGGAACUUGAGUGCAGAAGAGGAGAGUGGAAUUCCAUGUGUAGCGGUGAAAUGCGUAUAUGGAGGAACACCAGUGGCGAAGGCGACUCUCUGGUCUGUAACUGACGCUGAGGCGCGAAAGCGUGGGGGAGCAAACAGGAUUAGAUACCCUGGUAGUCCACGCCGUAAACGAUGAGUGCUAGGUGUUAGAGGUUUCGAUGCCCUUAGUGCCGAAGUUAACACAUUAAGCACUCCGCCUGGGGAGUACGACCGCAAGGUUGAAACUCAAAAGGAAUUGACGGGGGCCCGCACAAGCAGUGGAACAUGUGGUUUAAUUCGAAGCAACGCGAAGAACCUUACCAGGUCUUGACAUCCUUAUGACAUCCCUAGAGAUAGGGCUUUCCCUUCGGGGACAUAAGUGACAGGUGGUGCAUGGUUGUCGUCAGCUCGUGUCGUGAGAUGUUGGGUUAAGUCCGCAACGAGCGCAACCCAUGAUCUUAGUUGCCAGCAUUCAGUUGGGCACUCUAAGGUGACUGCCGGUGAUAAACCGGAGGAAGGUGGGGAUGACGUCAAAUCAUCAUGCCCCUUGACCUGGGCUACACGUGCUACAAUGGAUGGUACAAAGGGCUGCGAGACCGCGAGGUAAGCCAAUCCCAUAAAGCCAUUCUCAGUUCGGAUUGUAGGCUGCAACUCGCCACAUGAAGCCGGAAUUGCUAGUAAUCGCGGAUCAGCAUGCCGCGGUGAAUACGUUCCCGGGCCUUGUACACACCGCCCGUCACACCACGAGAGUUUGUAACACCCGAAGUCGGUGGGGUAACGCAAUUUGCGAGCCAGCCGCCUAAGGUGGGACAGAUGAUUGGGGUGAAGUCAUAAGGUAGCCGUAUCGGAAGGUGCGGCUGGAUCACCUCCUUU